AAGACUAUACUUUCAGGGAUCAUUUCUAUAGUUUAUAACUUGGAAA
This 46-nucleotide small nucleolar RNA is filed under the name Astyanax mexicanus (Mexican tetra). Its description in RNAcentral is "Small nucleolar RNA U3 (ENSAMXG00005010896.1)". It matches the Rfam family "Small nucleolar RNA U3", at positions 1 to 46 of the family's 219-position model. From Rfam's summary of the family: Small nucleolar RNAs (snoRNAs) are involved in the processing and modification of rRNA in the nucleolus. There are two main classes of snoRNAs: the box C/D class, and the box H/ACA class. Lineage: Eukaryota; Metazoa; Chordata; Actinopteri; Characiformes; Acestrorhamphidae. The record is from RNAcentral.